Molecule: long non-coding RNA, 460 nt
Filed under: Olea europaea (common olive)
Lineage: Eukaryota; Viridiplantae; Streptophyta; Magnoliopsida; Lamiales; Oleaceae
Description: long non-coding RNA (OEUR_LNC002472)
Source: RNAcentral
AAUACGACAUCGUUCGGGUACGUCAAGAAUCGUAUGAAGGUUGUGAUUGAUCAAUAAAGGAUUCGUCACUCUUAGAUAGUAGGAGAUUAUGAUCUGCGUUUCAUUCAAUUAAGUCAAUGAUCAAAUCCUUGGCCAAGGUGUACUCAUAAGUCGAAAAGGAGUUUUCGAUUUAUAUUGACUUAAUAGUGGAGUGAAAGAUAUGAUCGAUGAUCGAGAUUGACACAACUCCAUAUCUCGUAAUUGAUCGGAUCAUAUUGACGAAGGGAUUAUAGUUUCACGGUAAACGAACGAAUUUGAUUUUGUCAUACCACGUGACAUUUCCCGUCACAUGUAUUGCCCUGACACAUUGCUGGAUGUCAAUCAGGGACGGCGAAUGUGAAUUGACGAUAAAUUAAAAGGGUGUUUUAAUUUAUCAAUUUUGAUUAGAUCAAAAUAAUAUUUCACGUCGUUAGGCAUCGUG